UACAGAGGGUGCGAGCGUUGUCCGGAAUUACUGGGCGUAAAGCGUGCGUAGGUGGUUUGUUAAGUCUGUUGUGAAAGCCCCGGGCUCAACCUGGGAAUGGCAAUGGAUACUGGCAAGCUAGAGUGCGGUAGAGGGUAGUGGAAUUCCCGGUGUAGCGGUGAAAUGCGUAGAGAUCGGGAGGAACACCAGUGGCGAAGGCGGCUACCUGGACCAGCACUGACACUGAGGCACGAAAGCGUGGGGAGCAAACAGG
This 253-nucleotide ribosomal RNA is filed under the name uncultured bacterium. Its description in RNAcentral is "partial 16S ribosomal RNA". It matches the Rfam family "Bacterial small subunit ribosomal RNA", at positions 524 to 776 of the family's 1533-position model. The record is from RNAcentral.